GUCUAGAUGCAAGAAUGGCCCCCGUGAUGUUGUCAGGUAUAUACCUGCAACGUGCGGGGGUUUUCU
RNAcentral lists this antisense RNA (66 nucleotides) under uncultured Escherichia sp. RNAcentral's name for it is "rdlD antitoxin". It matches the Rfam family "rdlD antitoxin". The record is from RNAcentral. Lineage: Bacteria; Pseudomonadati; Pseudomonadota; Gammaproteobacteria; Enterobacterales; Enterobacteriaceae.